Molecule: ribosomal RNA, 578 nt
Filed under: uncultured marine eukaryote
Lineage: Eukaryota
Description: bacterial SSU rRNA
Rfam family: Eukaryotic small subunit ribosomal RNA
Source: RNAcentral
AAAGCUCGUAGUUGGAUUCAGAGGUGGGGUUGUGGGUCGGGUGUGGCCCGGCAGCUUGUCUCCGUGUGCCGCUCCCAAUCAACCCGCGUUUGCCCCAGCCUCCUAUCGCACGGAAACGGAGUCCUGCUGGGGUCUCCUUAACUGGGGGUUCCAGCGCUUCCGCGCACAACGUGCGCUUACGGACCGUCCGUGGACGUUACUGUGAACAAAACAGCGUGUUCAAAGCAAGUGGCUUGCCUGCCCUGCAUGUUAAAGCAUGGAAUAACAAGGCAUCGACCACUCGGCGGUGCUUUUGUUGGUCUUUCCCUCCCGGUGGGAAUGCGCAGGCGUGCACACUGCCGGCCUUCUGGCCGGUCUGGGUGCCGUCUCUUCGAGAUCAAUAGGGGCAAACGGGGAGAUACCUAUUGUGGGGAGAGCGGUGAAAUGCGAUGACCCCCAUAAGAGGAACUUCAGCGAAAGCAGUUCUCAAGACUGCCUUCGUUAAUCAAGAACGAGACUGUGGGGAUCAAAGGAUGAUCAGAUACCGUCGUAGUCCACUAGCGUAAACGAUGCCGACUCAUCAUUGGGGGGCAUCUCUA